Molecule: ribosomal RNA, 274 nt
Filed under: uncultured bacterium
Lineage: Bacteria
Description: partial 16S ribosomal RNA
Rfam family: Bacterial small subunit ribosomal RNA
Source: RNAcentral
AUACGGAGGGUGCAAGCGUUAUUCGGAUUUACUGGGCGUAAAGGGAGCGCAGGCUGCCAGAUAAGUCAGAUGUGAAAGCCCGGGGCUCAACACCGGAAGUGCAUUUGAAACUGUUUGGCUGGAGUAUGGUAGAGGGAAGUGGAAUUCCAGGUGUAGCGGUGAAAUGCGUAGAUAUCUGGAGGAACACCGGUGGCGAAGGCGGCUUCCUGGACCAAUACUGACGCUGAGGCUCGAAGGUGUGGGUAGCAAACAGGAUUAGAAACCCCAGUAGUCC